UGGGGAAUAUUGCACAAUGGGCGCAAGCCUGAUGCAGCCAUGCCGCGUGUAUGAAGAAUGCCUUCGGGUUGUAAAGUACUUUCAGCGGGGAGGAAGGGAGUAAAGUUAAUACCUUUGCUCAUUGACGUUACCCGCAGAAGAAGCACCGGCUAACUCCGUGCCAGCAGCCGCGGUAAUACGGAGGGUGCAAGCGUUAAUCGGAAUUACUGGGCGUAAAGCGCACGCAGGCGGUUUGUUAAGUCAGAUGUGAAAUCCUCGGGCUCAACCUGGGAACUGCAUCUGAUACUGGCAAGCUUGAGUCUCGUAGAGGGGGGUAGAAUUCCAGGUGUAGCGGUGAAAGGCGUAGAGAUCUGGAGGAAUACCGGUGGCGAAGGCGGCCCCCUGGACGAAGACUGACGCUCAGGUGCGAAAGCGUGGGGAGCAAACAGG
RNAcentral lists this ribosomal RNA (429 nucleotides) under Chloroflexota bacterium. RNAcentral describes it as "Chloroflexi bacterium partial 16S ribosomal RNA". It matches the Rfam family "Bacterial small subunit ribosomal RNA", at positions 355 to 776 of the family's 1533-position model. Lineage: Bacteria; Bacillati; Chloroflexota. The record is from RNAcentral.